Molecule: transfer RNA, 77 nt
Filed under: Gammaproteobacteria bacterium
Lineage: Bacteria; Pseudomonadati; Pseudomonadota; Gammaproteobacteria
Also listed under: 3 other names
Description: tRNA-Arg
Rfam family: tRNA
About the family: Transfer RNA (tRNA) molecules are approximately 80 nucleotides in length. Their secondary structure includes four short double-helical elements and three loops (D, anti-codon, and T loops).
Source: RNAcentral
GCGCCUGUAGCUCAGUUGGAUAGAGUGUCGCCCUCCGAAGGCGAAGGUCACAGGUUCGACUCCUGUCAGGCGCGCCA